GCCUAACACAUGCAAGUCGAACGGUAACAGAAAGCAGCUUGCUGCUUUGCUGACGAGUGGCGGACGGGUGAGUAAUGUCUGGGAAACUGCCUGAUGGAGGGGGAUAACUACUGGAAACGGUAGCUAAUACCGCAUAACGUCGCAAGACCAAAGAGGGGGACCUUAGGGCCUCUUGCCAUCGGAUGUGCCCAGAUGGGAUUAGCUAGUAGGUGGGGUAACGGCUCACCUAGGCGACGAUCCCUAGCUGGUCUGAGAGGAUGACCAGCCACACUGGAACUGAGACACGGUCCAGACUCCUACGGGAGGCAGCAGUGGGGAAUAUUGCACAAUGGGCGCAAGCCUGAUGCAGCCAUGCCGCGUGUAUGAAGAAGGCCUUCGGGUUGUAAAGUACUUUCAGCGGGGAGGAAGGGAGUAAAGUUAAUACCUUUGCUCAUUGACGUUACCCGCAGAAGAAGCACCGGCUAACUCCGUGCCAGCAGCCGCGGUAAUACGGAGGGUGCAAGCGUUAAUCGGAAUUACUGGGCGUAAAGCGCACGCAGGCGGUUUGUUAAGUCAGAUGUGAAAUCCCCGGGCUCAACCUGGGAACUGCAUCUGAUACUGGCAGGCUUGAGUCUCGUAGAGGGGGGUAGAAUUCCAGGUGUAGCGGUGAAAUGCGUAGAGAUCUGGAGGAAUACCGGUGGCGA
Molecule: ribosomal RNA, 683 nt
Filed under: uncultured Escherichia sp.
Lineage: Bacteria; Pseudomonadati; Pseudomonadota; Gammaproteobacteria; Enterobacterales; Enterobacteriaceae
Description: bacterial SSU rRNA
Rfam family: Bacterial small subunit ribosomal RNA
Source: RNAcentral